RNAcentral lists this ribosomal RNA (490 nucleotides) under uncultured bacterium. RNAcentral describes it as "partial 16S ribosomal RNA". It matches the Rfam family "Bacterial small subunit ribosomal RNA", at positions 30 to 507 of the family's 1533-position model. The record is from RNAcentral.
AUUGAACGCUGGCGGCAGGCCUAACACAUGCAAGUCGAACGGUAACAGGAAGAAGCUUGCUUCUUUGCUGACGAGUGGCGGACGGGUGAGUAAUGUCUGGGAAACUGCCUGAUGGAGGGGGAUACCUACUGGAAACGGUAGCUAAUACCGCAUAAUGUCGCAAGACCAAAGAGGGGGACCUUCGGGCCUCUUGCCAUCGGCUGUGCCCAGAUGGGAUUAGCUAGUAGGUGGGGUAACGGCUCACCUAGGCGACGAUCCCUAGCUGGUCUGAGAGGAUGACCAGCCACACUGGAACUGAGACACGGUCCAGACUCCUACGGGAGGCAGCAGUGGGGAAUAUUGCACAAUGGGCGCAAGCCUGAUGCAGCUAUGCCGCGUGUAUGAAGAAGGCCUUCGGGUUGUAAAGUACUUUCAGCAGGGAGGAAGGGAGUAAAGUUAAUACCUUUGCUCAUUGACGUUACCCGCAGAAGAAGCACCGGCUAACUCCGUG